GAUGAACGCUGGCGGCGUGCCUAAUACAUGCAAGUCGAGCGAACGGACGAGAAGCUUGCUUCUCUGAUGUUAGCGGCGGACGGGUGAGUAACACGUGGAUAACCUACCUAUAAGACUGGGAUAACUUCGGGAAACCGGAGCUAAUACCGGAUAAUAUUUUGAACCGCAUGGUUCAAAAGUGAAAGACGGUCUUGCUGUCACUUAUAGGUGGAUCCGCGCUGCAUUAGCUAGUUGGUAAGGUAACGGCUUACCAAGGCAACGAUGCAUAGCCGACCUGAGAGGGUGAUCGGCCACACUGGAACUGAGACACGGUCCAGACUCCUACGGGAGGCAGCAGUAGGGAAUCUUCCGCAAUGGGCGAAAGCCUGACGGAGCAACGCCGAGUGAGUGAUGAAGGUCUUCGGAUCGUAAAACUCUGUUAUUAGGGAAGAACAUAUGUGUAAGUACCUGUGCACAUCUUGACGGUACCUAACCAGAAAGCCACGGCUAACUACGUG
Molecule: ribosomal RNA, 497 nt
Filed under: uncultured bacterium
Lineage: Bacteria
Description: partial 16S ribosomal RNA
Rfam family: Bacterial small subunit ribosomal RNA
Source: RNAcentral